AUGCUGAUUCUAGAAGAGAAAUGGCAGAUCUGUGUUGCAGCCCUGCUCUGGAACUCUGGAGGGAACGCACCUCAUAACCUUCGAAAGCCGCACCCGUGAUUUUCCCUCUUUCUUAUUGAGGAUUCAGCUAUUCAUUAUGAAUUGGCCUACAGACCCUCAAAGCUAUUCCUAAGGAAAUUUUCUUUUCUCACUUCACACAAAUCUAUUGAUGUUCUCAGACGAUCUUCCUUAUGCUCUGUGUGGAAGCCUCCUCGAACGAUUGGAUCAAAGUCAAUUUUGAUGGGAGUGUCAAGGGAUAGGUGGCUGGGUAUGGGGGAAUUCUCCAUGAUCACCAUGGGGCAACGAUCUGGACUGUCUCAGGCAGAAUACAUCCUUGCGAGAUUAAUGAGGCGGAGUUAUGGGCCCUGAUGAAAGGAGUUCUAAACCUAGAUCUCUUCUAGGUGAGAGUCCAAAUUGAAGGAGACUCGGCUAACGUCAUCGGUUGGUAUUUGUUCUCGGAUUCUGCCCUUUGGUACCUUCAUAACCUCAUGGACGAAAUUUUAAUUCAUUUGAGAGAUUCUGGAGUCUCAUUUUCACUUGCUGCUCGAGGGUACAAUUCGGAUGCUGACGGAUUGGAUAACUUGGCUACUUCCUAAGCUAUGCCUUCC
Molecule: long non-coding RNA, 647 nt
Filed under: Amborella trichopoda
Lineage: Eukaryota; Viridiplantae; Streptophyta; Magnoliopsida; Amborellales; Amborellaceae
Description: long non-coding RNA (ATRI_LNC003955)
Source: RNAcentral